UGACGUGAGUAACGACAAAACGGGUGAAAAACCCGUUCGCCGAAAGACCAAGGGUUCCAGUCCAACGUUAAUCGGGGCUGGGUGAGUCGACCCCUAAGGCGAGGCCGAAAGGCGUAGUCGAUGGGAAAAUGGUUAAUAUUCCAUUACUUCUGUGUAAUGCGAUGAGAGGACGGAGAAGGCUAAAUCAGCCUGGCGUUGGUUGUCCAGGUGAAAGGAUGUAGGCAUGUAUCUUAGGCAAAUCCGGGGUACUCUAUGCUGAGAUCUGAUAGCAAGCUGUACUUGUACAGCGAAGUGGUUGAUGCCAUGCUUCCAGGAAAAGUCUCUAAGCUUCAGUUACACAGGAAUCGUACCCGAAACCGACACAGGUGGUCAGGUCGAGUAGACCAAGGCGCUUGAGAGAACUCUGCUGAAGGAACUAGGCAAAAUGGUACCGUAACUUCGGGAGAAGGUACGCUGUUGUUGGUGAUGGAACUCGCUUCCUGAGCUGACGACAGCCGCAGAAACCAGGCCGCUGCAACUGUUUAUUAAAAACAUAGCACUCUGCAAACACGAAAGUGGACGUAUAGGGUGUGAUGCCUGCCCGGUGCUGGAAGGUUAAUUGAUGGGGUUAGCGUAAGCGAAGCUCUUGAUCGAAGCCCCAGUAAACGGCGGCCGUAACUAUAACGGUCCUAAGGUAGCGAAAUUCCUUGUCGGGUAAGUUCCGACCUGCACGAAUGGCAUAAUGAUGGCGGCGCUGUCUCCAGCAGAGGCUCAGUGAAAUCGAAAUCGCUGUGAAGAUGCAGUGUACCCGCGGCUAGACGGAAAGACCCCGUGAACCUUUACUGCAGCUUGACACUGAACUUUGACCUUACUUGUGUAGGAUAGGUGGGAGGCUUUGAAGCUGGAACGCUAGUUCCAGUGGAGCCGUCCUUGAAAUACCACCCUGGUAAUGUUGAGGUUCUAACUCUGUCCCGUGAUCCGGGACGAGGACCGUGUCUGGUGGGUAGUUUGACUGGGGCGGUCUCCUCCUAAAGAGUAACGGAGGAGUACGAAGGUGCGCUCAGCGUGGUCGGAAAUCACGCGUAGAGUAUAAAGGCAAAAGCGCGCUUAACUGCGAGACCCACAAGUCGAGCAGGUACGAAAGUAGGUCUUAGUGAUCCGGUGGUUCUGUAUGGAAGGGCCAUCGCUCAACGGAUAAAAGGUACUCUGGGGAUAACAGGCUGAUACCGCCCAAGAGUUCAUAUCGACGGCGGUGUUUGGCACCUCGAUGUCGGCUCAUCUCAUCCUGGGGCUGAAGCAGGUCCCAAGGGUAUGGCUGUUCGCCAUUUAAAGAGGUACGCGAGCUGGGUUUAGAACGUCGUGAGACAGUUCGGUCCCUAUCUACCGUGGGCGCUGGAAAUUUGAGAGGAUCUGCUCCUAGUACGAGAGGACCAGAGUGGACGAACCUCUGGUGUACCGGUUGUGACGCCAGUCGCAUCGCCGGGUAGCUAUGUUCGGAAGGGAUAACCGCUGAAAGCAUCUAAGCGGGAAGCCUACCUCAAGAUAAGAUUUCCCUAGGACUUUAUGUCCUCUAAAGAGCCGUUCGAGACUAGGACGUUGAUAGGUUGGAUGUGGAAGCAUAGUGAUAUGUGAAGCUGACCAAUACUAAUUGCUCGUGAGGCUUGACUAU
RNAcentral lists this ribosomal RNA (1648 nucleotides) under Acinetobacter baumannii. Its description in RNAcentral is "partial 23S ribosomal RNA". It matches the Rfam family "Bacterial large subunit ribosomal RNA", at positions 1298 to 2925 of the family's 2925-position model. The record is from RNAcentral. RNAcentral also lists the same sequence under 1 other name. Lineage: Bacteria; Pseudomonadati; Pseudomonadota; Gammaproteobacteria; Moraxellales; Moraxellaceae.